This 540-nucleotide ribosomal RNA is filed under the name uncultured bacterium. RNAcentral's name for it is "bacterial SSU rRNA". It matches the Rfam family "Bacterial small subunit ribosomal RNA", at positions 942 to 1499 of the family's 1533-position model. The record is from RNAcentral.
GGGUUUAAUUCGAUGAUACGCGAGGAACCUUACCGGGCUUAAAUUGCAGAGGAAUGAUCUGGAAACAGGUCAGUCUUCGGACUUCUGUGAAGGUGCUGCAUGGUUGUCGUCAGCUCGUGCCGUGAGGUGUCGGCUUAAGUGCCAUAACGAGCGCAACCCUUGUGGUCAGUUACUAACAGGUAAUGCUGAGGACUCUGGCCAGACUGCCAUCGUAAGAUGUGAGGAAGCGGGGAUGACGUCAAAUCAGCACGGCCCUUACGUCCGGGGCUACACACGUGUUACAAUGGGAGGUACAGAAGGCUGCGACCCGGCGACGGGCAGCUAAUCCCUAAAGCCUCUCUCAGUUCGGACUGGAGUCUGCAACCCGACUCCACGAAGCUGGAUUCGCUAGUAAUCGCGCAUCAGCCACGGCGCGGUGAAUACGUUCCCGGGCCUUGUACACACCGCCCGUCAAGCCAUGAAAGCCGGGGGUACCUGAAGUGCGUAACCGCAAGGAGCGUCCUAGGGUAAAACCGGUAAUUGGGGCAGUCGACGCGGCCG